This is a long non-coding RNA of Gallus gallus (chicken), 848 nucleotides long. NCBI's taxonomy places the organism in Eukaryota, Metazoa, Chordata, Aves, Galliformes, Phasianidae. The record is from Ensembl.
GACUCUGUAGUGGAAAUGCUAAGUCACUGCUUGAAGCAGUGAUUGAACACCUGGUGGGAAGGCAGGGCCAACCCAGGGGAGCUCAGCUGCAUGAAAUGUUCCUGAGUGACCAGAUGAGGUGGAUCCAGGAUGCACCCCUUCCCAGACCUCAUUUAAGGGUUGGCAGUGGAGGUAGGGGUAUUUUGCUGGAGAUUCCUGUGUACCUGAGGUCUUCUGAAGGGGGAGCAGAUCUUUCUACCCUGAGAACAGCACAACAGGACUUGGCUGACCACUUGAGACACAAAGGUUUCCAUGGGGGCAGACAGGACAUGGCACAAUCAGGUGUCAGGAGAAUUGGGUGUGCUGAGCCAUGGGCAAAACCAGGCUGUCACAAGCAAGACCUGCAAAAGGCCAUGAAUUUCACGACCUCUACUGCUGCCAGGUUAUAGAGCCAGGGAUUGCCUGCAGAAGAUCUCAUGAAGAUCCAUUCAGAUGCCAUGUGUAUACAAACCUACCUGAAGACCUACUGCUGGUGGAUCCAAUGCCCCUGUGCUAAAGAUGGAAGCCUAGCUUGGAGGCAAAGUGCAUGGGGUGGUGGCCAGACAUCCACAAGGAUACGUCACAAAGGAAAGCUGGGACUGUGAUUUGGGAGCUUGAAGUCAAUACUUGAAUCAUCAGCGUGGACCAAGUUGAAGCUUGUUCGUGAGAAAAUCUGAUUAAACAUAGAGGGAGAAGAGAAGGGGGGGCAGGAUAAAGCUGUGUUCUUUAAGGUCCCUUCUAACCCAAGCCAUUCUGUGGUUCUAUGAAAGCUGGAAAGCCAGCAGGGAUCCUCCAGAGGAGAUGCUCGCAGCUGGCAUGCCACCAGAGAG